AAUAGAUACCCCGGUAGUCCACCCCGUAAACGUUGGGAACUAGUUGUGGGGUCCUUUCCACGGAUUCCGUGACGCAGCUAACGCAUUAAGUUCCCCGCCUGGGGAGUACGGCCGCAAGGCUAAAACUCAAAGGAAUUGACGGGGACCCGCACAAGCGGCGGAGCAUGCGGAUUAAUUCGAUGCAACGCGAAGAACCUUACCAAGGCUUGACAUACACCAGAACACCCUAGAAAUAGGGGACUCUUUGGACACUGGUGAACAGGUGGUGCAUGGUUGUCGUCAGCUCGUGUCGUGAGAUGUUGGGUUAAGUCCCGCAACGAGCGCAACCCUCGUUCUAUGUUGCCAGCACGUAAUGGUGGGAACUCAUGGGAUACUGCCGGGGUCAACUCGGAGGAAGGUGGGGAUGACGUCAAAUCAUCAUGCCCCUUAUGUCUUGGGCUUCACGCAUGCUACAAUGGCCGGUACAAAGGGCUGCAAUACCGUGAGGUGGAGCGAAUCCCAAAAGCCGGUCCAGUUCGGAUUGAGGUCUGCAACUCGACCUCAUG
This 545-nucleotide ribosomal RNA is filed under the name uncultured bacterium. RNAcentral's name for it is "bacterial SSU rRNA". It matches the Rfam family "Bacterial small subunit ribosomal RNA", at positions 777 to 1322 of the family's 1533-position model. The record is from RNAcentral.